Long non-coding RNA from Cygnus olor (mute swan), 645 nucleotides. RefSeq lists it as uncharacterized. The transcript has 3 exons. Lineage: Eukaryota; Metazoa; Chordata; Aves; Anseriformes; Anatidae. The record is from RefSeq and is a predicted model, not a curated record.
GUAAGAAAGAUUCUGCAGGCCAAAAUCUGUCCUCAGUUGCACUCCGGCAAGCCUGUUAUCUCUGUUGUGUGUCCUCAGUGACACCAGAGCAAAUCCCUCCUCUGUGACGGAAUUCUUCAGCUGCAGGGGAAGGGUGUCAGAGAAUAUUUUGAAGGAAAACACUGAUACAAGAAUCAGGCUAUGAGCAGUACUCUUCCACUGUGACUUGCAAUGACAUUCCAGCAGCUACACUUCAGUGACAUUGUGGUAAUUUUGGAUUCUGAAGACCUGUGUGAGAAUGGGGAAACCAAGAGGAGAGUUUUGUUGAUCAUUGGUUUUAUUUGUUUUGUGUUUGUUUGGAGAAACAUGGCCUGGCCUUAGACAGAAAAAAUACUAUGGAAAACAAAGCAACCCUCUACAUGUGAAAAGAAACCCAAAGAAGUUCCACUUCCAUCUGUCUUUAUACUUGCACAUGGUUGCACCUACUUGUCAUUUUGUAAUACCCAAGUUACUAAAUGUACCUAUGUACUUUAAAAUCCAAAGUUUUGAACAGCAGAAGCUUGAUUUGCAGCACAUACUCCUUGCCUCCCCCUAUCUGUGAUAGAAAAGUAUCAAUAGAUUUUGAUUUGAUAAAAUUAGGAUUCCCAAAAUCACAACAAAUCAUGA